CUGGGCAGUUNCUGACGCUGAGGAGCGAAAGCAUGGGGAGCGAACAGGAUUAGAUACCCUGNUAGUCCAUGCUGUAAACGGUGGGCGCUAGGUGUGGGCUGUGUGUUUGCAGUCUGUGCCGUGGCUAACGCAUUAAGCGCCCCGCCUGGGGAGUACGGCCGCAAGGCUAAAACUCAAAGGAAUUGACGGGGGCCCGCACAAGCGGCGGAGCAUGUGGAUUAAUUCGAUGCAACGCGAAGAACCUUACCUGGGUUUGACAUGCACCAGAUCGGCGUAGAGAUACGUUUUCCCUUGUGGUUGGUGCACAGGUGGUGCAUGGUUGUCGUCAGCUCGUGUCGUGAGAUGUUGGGUUAAGUCCCGCAACGAGCGCAACCCUUGUCUUAUGUUGCCAGCACAUUUUUUGGUGGGGACUCAUGAGAAACUGCCGGGGUCAACUCGGAGGAAGGUGGGGAUGACGUCAAAUCAUCAUGCCCUUUAUACCCAGGGCUUCACACAUGCUACAAUGGUCGGUACAACGGGUUGCGACACUGUGAAGUGAAGCUAAUCUCUGAAAGCCGGCCUCAGUUCGGAUUGGGGUCUGCAACUCGACCCCAUGAAGUCGGAGUCGCUAGUAAUCGCAGAUCAGCAACGCUGCGGUGAAUACGUUCCCGGGCCUUGUACACACCGCCCGUCACGUCAUGAAAGUUGGUAACACCCGAAGCCCAUGGCCUAACCACCGUUUGUGGUGGGGGGAGUGNUCGAAGG
This 744-nucleotide ribosomal RNA is filed under the name uncultured bacterium. RNAcentral describes it as "bacterial SSU rRNA". It matches the Rfam family "Bacterial small subunit ribosomal RNA", at positions 729 to 1462 of the family's 1533-position model. The record is from RNAcentral.